UGAGCAACCUGCCCUUAGCUCUGGGAUAACCCCGGGAAACCGGGGCUAAUACCGGAUAUGAGUCCGAGCGGCAUCACGCGGACUGGAAAGGUUUUCGGCUAAGGAUGGGCCCGCGGCCUAUCAGCUUGUUGGUGGGGUGAUGACCUACCAAGGCGACGACGGGUAGCCGGCCUGAGAGGGCGACCGGCCACACUGGGACUGAGACACGGCCCAGACUCCUACGGGAGGCA
Molecule: ribosomal RNA, 230 nt
Filed under: uncultured bacterium
Lineage: Bacteria
Description: partial 16S ribosomal RNA
Rfam family: Bacterial small subunit ribosomal RNA
Source: RNAcentral